GUUAAUAUGUCCGACUUAGGUGGUAAACUGUAAAUUUACUUAUGAAUUUUAUUCUGUUAAUA
Molecule: transfer RNA, 62 nt
Filed under: Thampoa tiani
Lineage: Eukaryota; Metazoa; Arthropoda; Insecta; Hemiptera; Cicadellidae
Description: tRNA-Tyr
Source: RNAcentral